AUACUUACCUGGGAGGGAGAUGCGGUGAUCAUGAAGGCCGUAUGUCCGUCUGAUACCUGCGACCUAGCACAUCGUCCGGGUGGAGGCGGUGGCCCCCAAAAGGGGGUACACACUCCAUUAUUUUUGAGAGCUGGGGACCCUGUACGCAGGCCCCUGA
This 157-nucleotide small nuclear RNA is filed under the name Chrysochromulina tobinii. Its description in RNAcentral is "Chrysochromulina sp. CCMP291 U1 spliceosomal RNA". It matches the Rfam family "U1 spliceosomal RNA". From Rfam's summary of the family: U1 is a small nuclear RNA (snRNA) component of the spliceosome (involved in pre-mRNA splicing). Its 5' end forms complementary base pairs with the 5' splice junction, thus defining the 5' donor site of an intron. The record is from Rfam by way of RNAcentral. Lineage: Eukaryota; Haptophyta; Prymnesiales; Chrysochromulinaceae.